GUGGGGAAUAUUGGACAAUGGGGGGAACCCUGAUCCAGCCAUGCCGCGUGUGUGAAGAAGGCCUUUUGGUUGUAAAGCACUUUAAGCGAGGAGGAGGCUACCGAGAUUAAUACUCUUGGAUAGUGGACGUUACUCGCAGAAUAAGCACCGGCUAACUCUGUGCCAGCAGCCGCGGUAAUACAGAGGGUGCAAGCGUUAAUCGGAUUUACUGGGCGUCAAGCGCGCGUAGGUGGCCAAUUAAGUCAAAUGUGAAAUCCCCGAGCUUAACUUGGGAAUUGCAUUCGAUACUGGUUGGCUAGAGUAUGGGAGAGGAUGGUAGAAUUCCAGGUGUAGCGGUGAAAUGCGUAGAGAUCUGGAGGAAUACCGAUGGCGAAGGCAGCCAUCUGGCCUAAUACUGACACUGAGGUGCGAAAGCAUGGGGAGCAAACAGGAUUAGAAACCCGUGUAGUCC
This 451-nucleotide ribosomal RNA is filed under the name uncultured bacterium. Its description in RNAcentral is "partial 16S ribosomal RNA". It matches the Rfam family "Bacterial small subunit ribosomal RNA", at positions 354 to 796 of the family's 1533-position model. The record is from RNAcentral.